Molecule: long non-coding RNA, 275 nt
Organism: Syngnathus acus (greater pipefish)
Lineage: Eukaryota; Metazoa; Chordata; Actinopteri; Syngnathiformes; Syngnathidae
Exons: 3
Source: RefSeq, a predicted model, not a curated record
CAUGCAUUUCAAGAAGACUUGUACAAGGGAGGCCUGCAUCAUGGAACACAAACUCCCAAACACACAUGACUUCUCCUGAUUCUUCUCACAGCGAGAGCCACGCAUUUCAAGAAGACUUGUACAAGGGAGGCCUGCAUCAUGGAACACAAACUCCCAAACACACAUGACUUCUCCUGAUUCUUCUCACAGCGAGAGCCACGCAUUUCAAGAAGACUUGUACAAGGGAGGCCUGCAUCAUGGAACACAAACUCCCAAACACACAUGACUUCUCCUGA